AGCAACAGCUGCGUGCAGAGUGUGGCCCGCACGAGUAGAUUUGGACACAUUCUCGAGGAGUCCUUCAUUUCGCAACCCCAAAAAAAUCGAAUUUUUGUAGGUCACAUUCUUGAAAGUAGUAGUGGAGCUUCUGAAAAGUGGAUUUGUUCCCUGCAGCAAAAAUGGAAAAAAGACCUCCCUCCUCCGUAGUCGGGUUUG
This is a long non-coding RNA of Polypterus senegalus (gray bichir), 198 nucleotides long. RefSeq lists it as uncharacterized. Lineage: Eukaryota; Metazoa; Chordata; Cladistia; Polypteriformes; Polypteridae. The transcript has 3 exons. The record is from RefSeq and is a predicted model, not a curated record.